Long non-coding RNA from Octopus sinensis (East Asian common octopus), 171 nucleotides. RefSeq lists it as uncharacterized. The transcript has 2 exons. The record is from RefSeq and is a predicted model, not a curated record. NCBI's taxonomy places the organism in Eukaryota, Metazoa, Mollusca, Cephalopoda, Octopoda, Octopodidae.
UGUGUGGUGUGUGUGUGUGUGUGUGUGUGUGUAUAUAUGAAUCAUAUUUUGUUUCUUUGAAAAUAUUUUACUUUUCAACGUAUUGAAUAAUUAUUGAUAUAUCAUAGCUGUAUUCAUCUGCUUUAAAACAUACAUACGAUGUCGUGAUGUAGAAAACACUACAAAAACAAA